Molecule: ribosomal RNA, 490 nt
Filed under: uncultured bacterium
Lineage: Bacteria
Description: partial 16S ribosomal RNA
Rfam family: Bacterial small subunit ribosomal RNA
Source: RNAcentral
AUUGAACGCUGGCGGCAGGCCUAACACAUGCAAGUCGAACGGUAACAGGAAGCAGCUUGCUGCUUCGCUGACGAGUGGCGGACGGGUGAGUAAUGUCUGGGAAACUGCCUGAUGGAGGGGGAUAACUACUGGAAACGGUAGCUAAUACCGCAUAACGUCGCAAGACCAAAGAGGGGGACCUUAGGGCCUCCUGCCAUCGGCUGUGCCCAGAUGGGAUUAGCUAGUAGGUGGGGUAACGGCUCACCUAGGCGACGAUCCAUAGCUGGUCUGAGGGGAUGACCAGCCACACUGGAACUGAGACACGGUCCAGACUCCUACGGGAGGCAGCAGUGGGGAAUAUUGCGCAAUGGGCGCAAGCCUGAUGCAGCCAUGCCGCGUGUAUGAAGAAGGCCUUCGGGUUGUAAAGUACUUUCAGCGGGGAGGAAGGGAGUAAAGUUAAUACCUUUGCUCAUUGACGGUACCCGCAGAAGAAGCACCGGCUAACUCCGUG